Molecule: ribosomal RNA, 458 nt
Filed under: uncultured bacterium
Lineage: Bacteria
Description: bacterial SSU rRNA
Rfam family: Bacterial small subunit ribosomal RNA
Source: RNAcentral
UACGGAAGGCAGCAGUGGGGAAUAUUGCACAAUGGGCGCAAGCCUGAUGCAGCCAUGCCGCGUGUAUGAAGAAGGCCUUAGGGUUGUAAAGUACUUUCAUCGGGGAGGAAAAAACAAAACUAAUAAUUUUAUUUUCUUGACGUUACCCGAAAAAGAAGCACCGGCUAACUCCGUGCCAGCAGCCGCGGUAAUACGGAGGGUGCUAGCGUUAAUCAGAAUUACUGGGCGUAAAGAGCACGUAGGUGGUUUUUUUUAAGUCAGAUGUGAAAUCCCUGGGCUUAACCUAGGAACUGCAUUUUGAAACUGAAAUACUAGAGUAUCGUAGAGGGAGGUAGAAUUCUAGGUGUAGCGGUGAAAUGCGUAGAUAUCUGGAGGAAUACCUGUGGCGAAAGCGGCCUCCUAAACGAAUACUGACACUGAGGUGCGAAAGCGUGGGGAGCAAACAGGGAUUAGAUACC